GGCUCAGAUUGAACGCUGGCGGCAUGCCUUACACAUGCAAGUCGAACGGUAACAGGUCUUCGGAUGCUGACGAGUGGCGAACGGGUGAGUAAUACAUCGGAACGUGCCCGAGAGUGGGGGAUAACGAGGCGAAAGCUUUGCUAAUACCGCAUACGAUCUCAGGAUGAAAGCAGGGGACCGCAAGGCCUUGCGCUCACGGAGCGGCCGAUGGCAGAUUAGGUAGUUGGUGGGAUAAAAGCUUACCAAGCCGACGAUCUGUAGCUGGUCUGAGAGGACGACCAGCCACACUGGGACUGAGACACGGCCCAGACUCCUACGGGAGGCAGCAGUGAGGAAUAUUGGUCAAUGGGCGAGAGCCUGAACCAGCCAAGUCGCGUGAAGGAAUGAAGGUUCUAUGGAUUGUAAACUUCUUUUGUCCGAGGGUAAAAAAGGUCACGUGUGACUUCUUGCAAGUAUCGGACGAAUAAGCAUCGGCUAACUCCGUGCCAGCAGCUGC
RNAcentral lists this ribosomal RNA (496 nucleotides) under uncultured bacterium. RNAcentral's name for it is "bacterial SSU rRNA". It matches the Rfam family "Bacterial small subunit ribosomal RNA", at positions 21 to 518 of the family's 1533-position model. The record is from RNAcentral.